Small nuclear RNA from Nannospalax galili (Upper Galilee mountains blind mole rat), 107 nucleotides. NCBI's taxonomy places the organism in Eukaryota, Metazoa, Chordata, Mammalia, Rodentia, Spalacidae. The record is from Ensembl.
AGGCUUGUCUCUGCAGCACACAGAGUAAAGUUAGAAAAAUACAGGGAAGGCUGGCAUGGCCCCUGUGCGAGGGUGGCCUGGGGUUUUGUGACAUGUUCCAUGUUGUU